AGCGGGAAGUCCGCGUUCAGCAGCUGGAAGUACCGACGUUAUGUUGCACUUAUUUCUGUCACAGGAAAGAACGAUUCUGUUUUUACUAUUUCCUGAAACAGUCGAAAGGACAGCGCCGCGCGGUGAAACUUACGGAGAAAGAACCGCGCACGGAGAGCGGCGCGUUUACUUCCUGUCCAGUUCCGGUGGAUGUUCUCCAGCUAAGCUACAGAAGCUACACCAACGUCUGUUGGUAAGAGGACCGUGCUGGGACGCAAAGAGAGGACACUGCUGCACUGAAGACAUUUCACAGGAGGCAAAGGGAAGCAGCUGUAGUGAUUUCAGACAUCACCCAGACUCAGAGCGCUGAGGGAGCAAAGUGUCGCUGCCUGUACCUGAAGUGUGUGGAUGUUUCACCCUGAAGAGACGCGGCUGCCUCUGUCAGUGGGAGUGAAAGGAAAGUAAUUAGUUUUCUAACUUUUUAAAUCUUCUGUGCUCUGCGUCUUCAGAGCACUGCUCAACUUUGCUUUUUAAAACACUGUCUUUUGUUUUGUUGUGUAUUUAUUCGUUCCUUCAUUGAUUUGCUUGUGGGAUAAGAAUUGUAGCUCCUGAUUGGUCAAACAGCACUGUCCACAAGAGGAAGGAGGACAGAAAGAGUAGACAGUACUUUGCCCCCCCCCCUCCCAUUAGUCUUGUCUCUGCCUGUUUGGUUGAGCUGAAAACAGAGAUGUCCAGAUGAUGUCUCGGUUCAUGUCUUGAUGAUGUCUCCGUUCCUCUGUCCACAGCCUCCCUCUCCACGCUCUGAACGCAGACAGACUUUUUUUAGUGCAGGCUCUCUGCUGGAAGCAACGUUGCGGAGGAAAGUUGUCACAACAGUCUGAUGGGCUGGGGGCUGCGUGCUGAAUGGUGGCGAACGGCAAAUGGCCAUCGCAGCUCCACUUCACCAAAACAAAUUACUCAGAGCUCCUGGCGGCGUUCAUAGCCCUGAAACAUUUUCAGCCGUUUCUCCAGCACUGUCACAUUUUGAUAAGCUCUGACUGCUCCACAACAAUACCUCACAUCAGCCAUCAGAGGGGAGGCUGUUCUCCUCACAGCGCCCGCCACUGUGAGCAGCACUGUGCGACCUCUCUGCGGUGUCCACGGGAAACUGCUGGAGCUGGUAAAGCAGGUGGUGACAGCAGGUUUAUUUCACGUUCGUGACAAACAGCACACGCUCUGUCUGAAUCACUGAAGGAAGCUGUGGCACUUCACUCACAGAAAACUCAGAGAACAGAGGGAACAUGGCGAUCACUGUACGUCGAACAUGACUUCCUGUUGUCUGUGAUACUGAUACAUAUACCUGUGUAUGUACACAGACGCCCCGCAGCAUACUGGCCCCUGUAGUCUUGUUCGGGACGGACGGACGGACGGACGGAUGGACUUCCACAGCCUCCGAAACAUGACGCAGCAGCAAUAACAUGAUGAAAACACGCCACAGUAAGAGAGUCGAGAUGGGCCACCUGUCCCCCUCCUCUCCACCUGGACCUGGACCUCUGCUGCACUCUUCACAGACAGUAGACCGACACACCUGGUCCUACACUGCCCCCGUGAGGAAGACAUUAGUCACCACAAGUACUCAGGUUUAAGAGGUCUGGUACGCCGCGGAUACCCCACAACAACCAAGAGCUGGAGGAGGCUGCAGUGAAGGCUGGGAGAGCAUCACCAGAGCCCGGGCCGUCACUGGCUGCGACAGGUUUUACACAAAACGUGAAAUAUUAUGAGGAUCUAUUUUGACUUCGUGUGUUUCCGUCCAGUCACGGCUGAACCCGUAAACCCUGAGCACGACGUGUUAAAGGCCUGUUCAGAGCAAGUUUCAGCGUCUACAGAGAGAUGCUGAGUGUUUGCUGCCCUCCGGUGGCCACAGCGAGGAACAACAGCACGUCCAUCAUGGACAGUGAAGCAGGGUCAGCUCAUUGGUCAUGUUUAAUUUAACAUUCUCUGAUAAAGAGGCUCCUGUUAUUACAUGUUGUGUGAAACACCUGAGCAGGACAAACGCUGAUAUUUUCCCAUUUGAUCCGUUUUUUGAUCACAUGUUUUAAAUCGUGCAGUGAUGGAAAGAAACAUUUACACAUUUACUCAAGUACUGUUCUGUACUCUAAUUUUACGGUACCUGUACUUGAUUAGAGUAUUUAAGUUUUCUUUUAUGUUCUACUUCUCCUCCACUGACCGAUAUGAACAUUUUCUCCUGUACACUUCCUCCCCCCCUCCUCUCUGAAAAUAACCUGUGAGUACCACGUGUCUGUGAACGCACCUAACCGCAUGUUCAUGUGUCACAGUCACACUUUUUCCGAGGGCACGGGAACGCACCACCGAUCACAACCCGAGGGCAGCUUAACAACGCGAGCUUAUUCUACGGCUUCGGCGUCGUUUGUGGUUAAAUUCCCACAGACACGAACACAGAAAGGAGGAUCACAACACAACCCGAACCACACAUUUCUGCUGCCAUUCAAAGACGUUUUAUUUGAACGAGAACUUCCUGCUCGGCCGGAACAAGAACUCGUCGCUUCCGGUGGAGAGGUGACGUGUCGCCCUCUGUCGGCAGAGAGAAACAUGACAACACGAACCGAGGAGACAAAGCGGCGACAGGUUCCCGUUGAAACAGGUGAUUUUUAAAAUAAACUUUAUUUAUAGUUUUUAGAACAUGUCGCAACACAAAGAGCACGUCCUCCUAAAAUACAGAGAGAAUCAUAUUUGUAUAUAAAUACAUAAAUAAUACAAAUAAAAUGAUAGAAAAAUAAAAAAUGAGAAAGUGGAUCACAGUGCAUUUUGUGGAAGUUCAGAGGUUUUAUUUUACUGAUCAUACACCUACUCAUUACGGUAGAUUGUAUUAUAUUACACUAUAUUAUAUUUUAUCACAUUAUGCCGCUCCUCUUCAUCAGCACUGUAGAAUACAGAAUAUUGGUUUUAUUUCAGUUUGUUUUACAGUGUGUUCUCCACUGUUUACUUUUGUAUCUGAGAUUUAAUUUAAUUUUGAUUUAUUGGCAGUUUCAUUCUUGUGUUUCUGUUCUUUUGUACCAACUGUUUGUGGCUUAUCUUCACCUAAUUUCCCUCAGGAAACAUUUAUCAACAAUUUAUGAAGAAAGUCAGAAAAUCUUCAUUAAAACAUAUUGAUCCUU
Long non-coding RNA from Toxotes jaculatrix (banded archerfish), 3134 nucleotides. RefSeq lists it as uncharacterized. The record is from RefSeq and is a predicted model, not a curated record. The transcript is spliced from 6 exons. Lineage: Eukaryota; Metazoa; Chordata; Actinopteri; Toxotidae.